This 504-nucleotide ribosomal RNA is filed under the name Diploschistes euganeus. RNAcentral's name for it is "eukaryotic LSU rRNA". It matches the Rfam family "Eukaryotic large subunit ribosomal RNA", at positions 147 to 664 of the family's 3401-position model. Lineage: Eukaryota; Fungi; Ascomycota; Lecanoromycetes; Ostropales; Graphidaceae. The record is from RNAcentral.
GAUUUGCAGAAGGAGCUUCGGGCGAGACGGCGGCCAAGUUCCUUGGAAUCGGACGUCGAAGAGGGUGAGAAUCCCGUAUCCGGCCGAUCGUCGAGCCCAUGAGAAGCCCUUUCGACGAGUCGAGUUGUUUGGGAAUGCAGCUCCAAGCGGGUGGUAAAUUUCAUCUAAAGCUAAAUACCUGCCAGAGACCGAUAGCGCACAAGUAGAGUGAUCGAAAGAUGAAAAGCACUUUGAAAAGAGAGUCAAACAGCACGUGAAAUUGUUGAAGGGGAAGCGCUUGCAACCAGACUCGCACGCGGGGGCUCAGCCGUCCCCCGGGACGGUGCACUCCCCCGCGAUCGGGCCAGCAUCGGUUUCGGCGGCCGGACAAAGGCCCGGGGAAAGUAGCUCCCUCGCGGGAGUGUUAUAGCCCCGGGUGCAAUGCGGCCCGCCGGGACCGAGGACCGCGCUUUUGCUAGGAUGCUGGCGUAAUGGUUGCCAGCGACCCGUCUUGAAACACGGAGA